UCUAGAUGAUUUUGAAUUGCUUA
This 23-nucleotide non-coding RNA is filed under the name Arabidopsis thaliana (thale cress). The record is from RNAcentral. Lineage: Eukaryota; Viridiplantae; Streptophyta; Magnoliopsida; Brassicales; Brassicaceae.